This 388-nucleotide ribosomal RNA is filed under the name Gephyrocapsa cf. muellerae. Its description in RNAcentral is "partial small subunit ribosomal RNA". It matches the Rfam family "Eukaryotic small subunit ribosomal RNA", at positions 582 to 975 of the family's 1831-position model. Lineage: Eukaryota; Haptophyta; Isochrysidales; Noelaerhabdaceae. The record is from RNAcentral.
AUUCCAGCUCCAAUAGCGUAUAUUAAAGUUGUUGCAGUUAAAACGCUCGUAGUCGGAUUUCGGGGCGGGCCGACCGGUCUGCCGAUGGGUAUGCACUGGCCGGCGCGUCCUUCCACCCGGAGACCGCGCCUACUCUUAACUGAGCGGGCGCGGGAGACGGGUCUUUUACUUUGAAAAAAUCAGAGUGUUUCAAGCAGGCAGUCGCUCUUGCAUGGAUUAGCAUGGGAUAAUGAAAUAGGACUCUGGUGCUAUUUUGUUGGUUUCGAACACCGGAGUAAUGAUUAACAGGAACGGUUGGGGGUAUUCGUAUUCGAUUGUCAGAGGUGAAAUUCUUGGAUUUAUGGAAGACGAACUACUGCGAAAGCAUUUACCAAGGAUGUUUUCAUUG